RNAcentral lists this ribosomal RNA (429 nucleotides) under Chloroflexota bacterium. RNAcentral describes it as "Chloroflexi bacterium partial 16S ribosomal RNA". It matches the Rfam family "Bacterial small subunit ribosomal RNA", at positions 355 to 776 of the family's 1533-position model. Lineage: Bacteria; Bacillati; Chloroflexota. The record is from RNAcentral.
UGGGGAAUAUUGCACAAUGGGCGCAAGCCUGAUGCAGCCAUGCCGCGUGUGUGAAGAAGGUCUUCGGGUUGUAAAGCACUUUCAGCGGGGAGGAAGGCGAUAAGGUUAAUAACCUUGUCGAUUGACGUUACCCGCAGAAGAAGCACCGGCUAACUCCGUGCCAGCAGCCGCGGUAAUACGGAGGGUGCAAGCGUUAAUCGGAAUUACUGGGCGUAAAGCGCACGCAGGCGGUCUGUCAAGUCGGAUGUGAAAUCCCCGGGCUCAACCUGGGAGCUGCAUUCGAAACUAGCAGGCUAGAGUCUUGUAGAGGGGGGUAGGAUUCCAGGUGUGGCGGUGAGAUGCGUAGAGAACUGGAGGAAUACCGGUGGCGAAGGCGGCCCCCUGGACAAAGACUGACGCUCAGGUGCGAAAGAGUGGGGAGCAAACAGG